AAUAAAUAAUGUUUUGUAUUGUUUAUGUCCAAUGUUUGACUAUUUGUUUUAUCUGAACAUUUUUUAUUAUUAGUGUUUUUAUUGUUAUUAGAUGAUAAUACAUGAAUAGUAUUUUAUGUGUGACUAAUUUUUUUAUUUUUCUAAAUAAGAUGGAUGGUUAAACGUUAGACAUAGAUAUCCACGGCUAUGCAUAUU
This 195-nucleotide microRNA precursor is filed under the name Oryza meridionalis. RNAcentral describes it as "MIR812 microRNA precursor family". It matches the Rfam family "MIR812 microRNA precursor family". The record is from Rfam by way of RNAcentral. Lineage: Eukaryota; Viridiplantae; Streptophyta; Magnoliopsida; Poales; Poaceae.